RNAcentral lists this ribosomal RNA (426 nucleotides) under uncultured Comamonas sp. Its description in RNAcentral is "bacterial SSU rRNA". It matches the Rfam family "Bacterial small subunit ribosomal RNA", at positions 356 to 774 of the family's 1533-position model. Lineage: Bacteria; Pseudomonadati; Pseudomonadota; Betaproteobacteria; Burkholderiales; Comamonadaceae. The record is from RNAcentral.
GGGGAAUUUUGGACAAUGGGCGAAAGCCUGAUCCAGCAAUGCCGCGUGCAGGAUGAAGGCCUUCGGGUUGUAAACUGCUUUUGUACGGAACGAAAAGCUUCGGGUUAAUACCCUGGAGUCAUGACGGUACCGUAAGAAUAAGCACCGGCUAACUACGUGCCAGCAGCCGCGGUAAUACGUAGGGUGCAAGCGUUAAUCGGAAUUACUGGGCGUAAAGCGUGCGCAGGCGGUCUUGUAAGACAGAGGUGAAAUCCCCGGGCUCAACCUGGGAACUGCCUUUGUGACUGCAAGGCUGGAGUGCGGCAGAGGGGGAUGGAAUUCCGCGUGUAGCAGUGAAGUGCGUAGAUAUGCGGAGGAAUACCGGUGGCGAAGGCGGCCCCCUGGACAAAGACUGACGCUCAGGUGCGAAAGCGUGGGGAGCAAACA